CCUCGCCUUAGUUGCCAGCAUUUGGUUGGGCACUCUAAGGGGACUGCCGGUGAUAAGCCGAGAGGAAGGUGGGGAUGACGUCAAGUCCUCAUGGCCCUUACGGGCUGGGCUACNCACGUGCUACAAUGGUGGUGACAGUGGGCAUCGAGACCGCGAGGUCGAGCUAAUCUCCAAAAGCCAUCUCAGUUCGGAUUGCACUCUGCAACUCGAGUGCAUGAAAUUGGAAUCGCUAGUAAUCGCAGAUCACCAUGCUGCGGUGAAUACGUUCCCGGGCCUUGUACACACCGCCCGUCNCACCAUGGGAGUUGGUUCUACCCGAAGGUANUGCGCUAACCGCAAGGAGGCAGCUGACCACGGUAGGGUCAGCGACUGGGGUGAAGUCGUAACAAGGUAGCCGUA
This 399-nucleotide ribosomal RNA is filed under the name Sinorhizobium sp. 1085. RNAcentral describes it as "bacterial SSU rRNA". It matches the Rfam family "Bacterial small subunit ribosomal RNA", at positions 1104 to 1504 of the family's 1533-position model. The record is from RNAcentral. Lineage: Bacteria; Pseudomonadati; Pseudomonadota; Alphaproteobacteria; Hyphomicrobiales; Rhizobiaceae.